GUGAAUCCCUUGGCUCAACCAAGGAAGGGCAUUUGAAACUGUCUGGCUUGAGUACGGGAGGGGGAAGUGGAAUUCCCGGUGUAGAGGUGAAAUUCGUAGAUAUCGGGAGGAACACCGGUGGCGAAGGCGGCUUCCUGGACCGAUACUGACGCUGAGACGCGAAAGCGUGGGGAGCAAACAGGAUUAGAUACCCUGGUAGUCCACGCCCUAAACGUUGGGCACUAGGUGUUGUGGGUAUUGACCCCUGCAGUGCCAAGGGCGAAUUCCACAGUGGAUA
Molecule: ribosomal RNA, 277 nt
Filed under: uncultured bacterium
Lineage: Bacteria
Description: partial 16S ribosomal RNA
Rfam family: Bacterial small subunit ribosomal RNA
Source: RNAcentral